CAAGUCGAACGAGAGGCUCUUCGGAGUAGUAAAGUGGCAAACGGGUGAGGAAUGCAUGGGUAACCUACCCUUGAGAAGGGAAUAACCCGCCGAAAGGUGAGCUAAUACCCUAUACGCUUCUUUUUUUAUGAAGAGGGAAGGAAAGCUAAGCCGAGGGCUUGGCGCUCAAGGAGGGGCUCAUGUCCUAUCAGCUUGUUGGUGGGGUAACGGCCUACCAAGGCUACGACGGGUAGCUGGUCUGAGAGGAUGAUCAGCCACACUGGCACUGAGAUACGGGCCAGACUCCUACGGGAGGCAGCAGUGAGGAAUAUUGCGCAAUGGGCGAAAGCCUGACGCAGCGACGCCGCGUGGGGGAUGAAGGUUUUCGGAUUGUAAACCCCUUUUGUGAGGAAAGAGAAAGUGGGUAACCACUUAGACGGUACCUCAAGAAAAAGCCACGGCUAACUUCGUGCCAGCAGCCGCGGUAAUACGAAGGUGGCGAGCGUUGUUCGGAUUUACUGGGCGUAAAGAGCACGUAGGCGGUUGGGUAAGCCUCUUGGGAAAGCUCCCGGCUUAACCGGGAAAGGUCGAGGGGAACUACUCAGCUAGAGGACGGGAGAGGAGCGCGGAAUUCCCGGUGUAGCGGUGAAAUGCGUAGAUAUCGGGAAGAAGGCCGGUGGCGAAGGCGGC
This 669-nucleotide ribosomal RNA is filed under the name uncultured bacterium. RNAcentral describes it as "bacterial SSU rRNA". It matches the Rfam family "Bacterial small subunit ribosomal RNA", at positions 58 to 725 of the family's 1533-position model. The record is from RNAcentral.